RNAcentral lists this long non-coding RNA (1875 nucleotides) under Theobroma cacao (cacao). Its description in RNAcentral is "long non-coding RNA (TCAC_LNC006356)". The record is from RNAcentral. Lineage: Eukaryota; Viridiplantae; Streptophyta; Magnoliopsida; Malvales; Malvaceae.
CCGGCCAUAGCAAGAACAAAGAGAGGAAAAGAUAAACAAGAAACCUAGGUGGGAAAAUUAAAGAAAAAGUGUGGGAUUUCAAGGAAUCAAGCCAUCAAAGGUAAAAUUUCUUGAUUUUGACUUGUGAUCUACCUUUCCCAUGCUUUUCUCCUUAUUUUCCAUGGUUAGAUUUCAUGUUUUCAUGGUGAAUUCAUGGCUGCCCAAAUGGGUAUGGAGAGAGAAUGAAGUUAGAUGAGAAUGAAGUUAGAUUGAUUUGAUUUUAAGUUAUGUUAGUGUUUUAAGUUAGUUUAGCAUAUUUAGAAACAAAACAACAAGAAAAGAAUUCAUUUUCUCCCAUUACCAUCAUUUGCUGAAUUUCCUAGGGAGAAUAUUGUGGCUGAAUUUGAUGAUAUUUCAUUAUAUUUUGGUGAUAUUUGAUGGUUGGUGACGCUAGGAAUUAAAUGGGAAAUUUUGAUGCGAAAAUACGAAUUUUUGCUUAACAUAUAGACAUGUGUAAUUAUUGACCCGAGACUGAUAAAUUGAAUCUCAUUCACAGUCACUGAGGUAAUUUAGGUAUAAUUGGAGUAUAGAAAGUGAAAAGAAUUGAUUUGGAGUUAAAUUGGAUAUUUUAGCCGAUUAGAUCGAGUAUAGUGUGACUUAGGUCGAAUAUUACAUUUAAGUGAUUAAUCGGACAUUUUGCAUUCCAUAUCAUGCAUUAGUAGUCUAAAUUAGUUUAAUUUCAAUUUAGUACCAAUGUAGUGAAUUUCUCGAUUUCAUACUGUGUUAAGGUGGUGAGUCCUCCAAUAAAGGCAAGAAAAUUGCACCCGAAGACUAAUAGUCUGAGUAUUUCAAAAAUUUGUACUCUAGACAUUGUGAGUAAACUUAAUGUCAUUUUAAUUAUCUAGGGUGGUUUUUAGAUGAUUUCAUGAAUUCUAUGGAAAAAGGAAUUUAAAAAGGUAAAUUUUCAUGUUUUAUGAAUAAAUAUGUUUCAAUGAAAUCAAUUUAUAAACUGUUUUGAAAUUAAUAAUGAUUUUGAAAAAUAGAGUACACGGAGACUACUCUUUGUUACAAUUUGAUUGUUUAAAUUGAUGGCUUUUGUUAAUGUGUUGGCAUGACUGGCUAGGUUGUGAUUCUGUGAACUAUAUGAAUUGUUCUAUUUUACACUUGCAGGCUGGGUAGUAUUAUAUUAGUCAUGUCAUGCUGUCAAAAUUUUAUUGAAUUGGGGGAAUAUAUAUUAAUUAAUCACUGCAGUAGGGGGUUUUUGUGGACCAGCCUUUUAGAGGGGCACGGUAAACCCCAUUAUAUUCUUACCUCGAAUGGAGAGGCGUGUAGGGUAUCUCUUGGGGUAAAGUUUAGAGUUCAUUUCACGCUAAACCACCACGUGAGAGUGAACUCCGCUAACACCAAGGAAUGGCUGUGUUUUUCAAACUAAAAAUAUGUUUUACGUGUAUAUGAAUUUUUAACAGCCAUGACGGUCUCGGUAGGAUGCCUCGGGCAAGGUGUCCCUAAGAAUGGAUUUAUGGCACAAGCUUAGUUUUUAUAAGAUUCAUAAGUCUCUUUACGUAUUUUGAAUGAAAUGUGUUCUAAUACUCUGACCCAAUUUACAAUGAUUUACUUUAUUGUCUCCAUGUACUCAACUCUAGAUGUUUAUGGUGAUGUCUAUUUGCUCAUUGGGAUUUUAUAAUCUCACCACCCUCUUUUCCACCCAUUUCAGGCUCAGAUUAGACUGUAGAUAGUUGAUCUCAUCGAGGACUACCGUUGGGUUUGUAUUCUUCAAACUGUAGGUUUAUAGUCCUCUUUACUUUUGUUUAUUCGGGGGCCCACUUAUUAUUGUAAAUUAAAUUAAAUACUUUGGCUUAUUGUAUUACAAUAUGUAUGAAUUUAUUUAACUUUUAC